Molecule: ribosomal RNA, 602 nt
Filed under: uncultured bacterium
Lineage: Bacteria
Description: bacterial SSU rRNA
Rfam family: Bacterial small subunit ribosomal RNA
Source: RNAcentral
GAAACGGUGAGUAAUACCUUAUACGCCCUUCGGGGGAAAGAUUUAUCGGAGAUGGAUUGGCCCGCGUUAGAUUAGAUAGUUGGUGGGGUAACGGCCUACCAAGUCUACGAUCUAUAGCUGGUUUUAGAGGAUGAUCAGCAACACUGGGACUGAGACACGGCCCAGACUCCUACGGGAGGCAGCAGUGGGGAAUCUUAGACAAUGGGCGAAAGCCUGAUCUAGCGAUGCCGCGUGAGUGAUGAAGGCCUUAGGGUCGUAAAGCUCUUUCGCCAGGGAUGAUAAUGACAGUACCUGGUAAAGAAACCCCGGCUAACUCCGUGCCAGCAGCCGCGGUAAUACGGAGGGGGUUAGCGUUGUUCGGAAUUACUGGGCGUAAAGCGUACGUAGGCGGAUCAGAAAGUAUGGGGUGAAAUCCCAGGGCUCAACCCUGGAACUGCCUCAUAAACUCCUGGUCUUGAGUUCGAGAGAGGUGAGUGGAAUUCCGAGUGUAGAGGUGAAAUUCGUAGAUAUUCGGAGGAACACCAGUGGCGAAGGCGGCUCACUGGCUCGAUACUGACGCUGAGGUACGAAAGUGUGGGGAGCAAACAGGAUUAGAUACCCUG